This 1273-nucleotide long non-coding RNA is filed under the name Marmota monax (woodchuck). Lineage: Eukaryota; Metazoa; Chordata; Mammalia; Rodentia; Sciuridae. The record is from RNAcentral.
UUCAUUUUUAUAACAUGUCACUAAUGUAUAGAGAAACUAGCUUAGAGUGGCACGUAGGGCUGUGGGAAGCAAGGGGAGAUACCACUUUGUUUUUUUCCUUUUUUCUCUGAAUGGCAUUUCAAUCGGACUUAAGGGUACUCUGCUUAGUUUCCUCCACAAUAUUUCUUUCUGUCAUAUUUAAUUUAUUGUUGUUUUUGAAACAUUUUUUCUAUCAAACUGAAGUUGGAUUUGUAGACUCCUUAGUUUUGGAACUUUGGAGAGAGAAAGCCCUUUCACUUCUUUUUUACCUGAAGCUGUGAUUUGGAGUAGAGCUAUGUGAAAUGAAUGGAUUCUUUUUCCUGAUAGGCUGAUAAUUUAUUAAAUUUUCAUCUAUGUAAUUUUUCAUGUAUCAUUCUUAUUGUUUAUUAACAAUGGUUUACACAGUGUUGCCCAUGUUCUAGAUGAUCUAGGAGGGCCACAGAGGGCUCACCUGUUCCUCAUCUUCGCAAUGAUAGAGGAUACUAUGAAGGUCAUGUCACGAUUUCUUCUUAAUUCAAAGUUGUCAUUCCAUAUCUGGGUUAGAUUAUCAUCUGUGGCUAGUAGAAAAGGAGUCUCUUAGCAGUAAAUUAAAUUUCUGACUCUAGGAAGUGUUCAGGCACCAAAAUUUUAUUUAUGCAAUUAAUCAAAAAACUUUAGAUUUUGGAGAAUUUGGAUUUUGGAUUUUUGGAUUUAGGAUCCUCAGGUGAUAAAAAUUCUAUGCUCAACCUGUUCAUACAUAUUUUGGUAACUGAAGUUGGAUUCCAAAGUUUGGAAGUCCCACGGCUUAGAAGAAGCUGGAAGUGUGUGUGUGAUGACUAUCAACCCUUGGUUGUACAUUAAUACAGGGAGCUUUAACAAUAAAUGCCAUAUCCCCAGGUUCUACUCCACCAGUUAAAUCAGAAGUGCCAGCAUCCAGAGUAUUUUACAAAAUCCCAGGUGAUCCUAGCAUGCAGACAGAGUUGAGAACUUCUGGUUAUAGUUAGGGUGCUCAAUUUUCACUUAUUUGAUAACAGACUGGCUACAUUAAGAGCAAUUGGAGGUCAGGUCUUUAAGAAGACAGUAGGCUAUGAGAAGGUCAAUGCUAUGUAAUUCUGCUCAUUCAUUUUUUUUUUUUUAAGUUAUGGGAUGUGGUAACUAAAAAGCAGCUGAGAAAUAUGCUUGGUCACUUGUCAGUAGUUGGGGCCCUGAGCUGGAAUCAUUAUCUCCUCAGCAGGUAAGAAGUGUCUUAUUUGAGCCAUCUGUAUUUAUAUCACCA